CAAAUCAAAAUUUUUUCCCUUACAAAACCUCUACUAUACACGGUAGCAGUGCAUCCAAUUGCUUUUUAUGUGAGUGAGAUAAGUACAACUUCAAAAGCAGACGUAGAAAAAAUAGUUGUAUUCGAGAGGAAGGUCUUUUACAGGCUUAUAGAACGACGAACCAAUUUAAAGCUCUGAGAAAUGUUCGGUGAAGUGGAAGUAGUUACAAUGAUGAAGAGCAAACGUAUUAGCUGGGUAGGACAUAUUAUAUCGAACACGGGAUCAGAUAGUCCGAUAGUCCGAAAGGUAACAUGAUUGAUUCCUUAUGGAAAGACACCACUAAGACAA
Molecule: non-coding RNA, 327 nt
Organism: Cinara cedri
Lineage: Eukaryota; Metazoa; Arthropoda; Insecta; Hemiptera; Aphididae
Source: the annotation of a GenBank genome assembly